RNAcentral lists this ribosomal RNA (748 nucleotides) under Primulina sp. Xu 11882. RNAcentral describes it as "eukaryotic LSU rRNA". The stretch from base 289 to 444 matches the Rfam family "5.8S ribosomal RNA". Lineage: Eukaryota; Viridiplantae; Streptophyta; Magnoliopsida; Lamiales; Gesneriaceae. The record is from RNAcentral.
GGAAGUAAAAGUCGUAACAAGGUUUCCGUAGGUGAACCUGCGGAAGGAUCAUUGUCGAAACCUGAAAAGCAGACCCGUGAACAUGUUUAAAAAUACGCAUGCGUUCGCGACGUUGGAUGAUUUUGUGUCCAACGCCACGACCUCGACCCGAAGUGGCGCAAGUCACUCGGGCGUGCUAACCUCUCGGCGCGAAAAGCGCCAAGGAAAAGCAUACGGAGCACCACUCCGUCCUGGUGUUGUUCUCCGUACCCAGGACGUGAUGAGGCGCGUCUCUUGAAUAGAUCUAACGACUCUCGGCAACGGAUAUCUCGGCUCUCGCAUCGAUGAAGAACGUAGCGAAAUGCGAUACUUGGUGUGAAUUGCAGAAUCCCGUGAACCAUCGAGUCUUUGAACGCAAGCUGCGCCCGAUGCCUUCAGGCUGAGGGCACGUCUGUUUGGGCGUCACGCAUCUCGUCAACGCCUCCCACGUCGCCUUCUUCCCCACUCAAGGAAGUCGGGGGACGAUGCGUACGGGGGAGGGUGGGAUAUUGGCCUCCCGUUAUCUUUGCGUGUAGCGGCUGGCCCAAACAAUAUACCGUGCCGAAGGAAGUCGCACGAUACGUGGUGGUUGGAUUCCUCAACUUGCGAGCUAUCGUGUAGGACUGCAUCGAGCCACGGGCACGACCCAAUGGCAAAAGAUUGCCCUCGAUUGCGACCCCAGGUCAGGCGGGAUCACCCGCUGAGUUUAAGCAUAUCAAUAAGCGGAGGA